CCUACGGGAGGCAGCAGUAGGGAAUAUUGCUCAAUGGGGGAAACUCUGAAGCAGCAACGCCGCGUGGAGGAUGAAGGUUUUCGGAUUGUAAACUCCUUUUGUUAGAGAAGAUAAUGACGGUAUCUAACGAAUAAGCACCGGCUAACUCCGUGCCAGCAGCCGCGGUAAUACGGAGGGUGCAAGCGUUACUCGGAAUCACUGGGCGUAAAGAGCGCGUAGGCGGGAUAGCAAGUCAGAUGUGAAAUCCUAUGGCUUAACCAUAGAACUGCAUUUGAAACUGUUAUUCUAGAGUAUGGGGGAGGUAGGUGGAAUUCGUGGUGUAGGGGUAAAAUCCGUAGAGAUCAAGAGGAAUACUCAUUGCGAAGGCGACCUGCUAGAACAUAACUGACGCUGAUGCGCGAAAGCGUGGGGAGCAAACAGGAUUAGAUACCCCGGUAGUC
Molecule: ribosomal RNA, 440 nt
Filed under: uncultured bacterium
Lineage: Bacteria
Description: partial 16S ribosomal RNA
Rfam family: Bacterial small subunit ribosomal RNA
Source: RNAcentral